UGUGUUAAUUCGAAGCAACGCGAAGAACCUUACCAGGUCUUGACAUCCGAUGCUAUUUCUAGAGAUAGAAAGUUACUUCGGUACAUCGGUGACAGGUGGUGCAUGGUUGUCGUCGGCUCGUGUCGUGAGAUGUUGGGUUAAGUCCCGCAACGAGCGCAACCCCUAUUGUUAGUUGCCAUCAUUCAGUUGGGCACUCUAGCGAGACUGCCGGUAAUAAACCGGAGGAAGUGGGAUGACGUCAAAUCAUCAUGCCCCUUAUGACCUGGGCUACACACGUGCUACAAUGGUUGGUACAACGAGUUGCGAGUCGGUGACGGCGAGCUAAUCUCUUAAAGCCAAUCUCAGUUCGGAUUGUAGGCUGCAACUCGCCUACAUGAAGUCGGAAUCGCUAGUAAUCGCGGAUCAGCACGCCGCGGUGAAUACGUUCCCGGGCCUU
RNAcentral lists this ribosomal RNA (436 nucleotides) under uncultured Streptococcus sp. Its description in RNAcentral is "bacterial SSU rRNA". It matches the Rfam family "Bacterial small subunit ribosomal RNA", at positions 940 to 1382 of the family's 1533-position model. The record is from RNAcentral. Lineage: Bacteria; Bacillati; Bacillota; Bacilli; Lactobacillales; Streptococcaceae.